GACGAACGCUGGCGGCGUGCUUAACACAUGCAAGUCGAACGGAAAGUCCCUGCUUUUGUGUUGUGCUCGAGUGGGGAACGGGUGAGUAACACGUGAGUAACCUGCCCUCGACUUUGGGAUAACUUAAGGAAACUUGGGCUAAUACCGGAUAGGAGCUCCUGCUUCAUGGUGGGGGUUGGAAAGGUUCGGCGGUUGGGGAUGGACUCGCGGCUUAGCAGCUUGUUGGUGGGGUAGUGGCUUACGAAGGCUUUGACGGGUAGCCGGCCUGAGAGGGUGACCGGACACAUUGGGACUGAGAUACGGACCAGACGGCUACGGGAGGCAGCGGUGGAGAAUAUUGCACAAUGGGCGGAAGCCUGAUGCAGCAACGCCGCGUGCGGGAUGACGGCUUUCGGGUUGGAAACCGCUUUCGCCUGAGACGAAGCGUGAGUGACGGUAAUGGGUAAAGAAGCCACGGCUAACUACGUG
This 468-nucleotide ribosomal RNA is filed under the name uncultured bacterium. Its description in RNAcentral is "partial 16S ribosomal RNA". It matches the Rfam family "Bacterial small subunit ribosomal RNA", at positions 28 to 507 of the family's 1533-position model. The record is from RNAcentral.